AUUGAACGCUGGCGGCAUGCCUUACACAUGCAAGUCGAACGGCAGCACGGGUGCUUGCACCUGGUGGCGAGUGGCGAACGGGUGAGUAAUACAUCGGAACAUGUCCUGUAGUGGGGGAUAGCCCGGCGAAAGCCGGAUUAAUACCGCAUACGAUCUACGGAUGACAGCGGGGGACCUUCGGGCCUCGCGCUAUAGGGUUGGCCGAUGGCUGAUUAGCUAGUUGGUGGGGUAAAGGGCUACCAAGGCGACGAUCAGUAGCUGGUCUGAGAGGACGACCAGCCACACUGGGACUGAGACACGGCCCAGACUCCUACGGGAGGCAGCAGUGGGGAAUUUUGGACAAUGGGCGAAAGCCUGAUCCAGCAAUGCCGCGUGUGUGAAGAAGGCCUUCGGGUUGUAAAGCACUUUUGUCCGGAAAGAAAUCCUUGGCUCUAAUACAGUCGGGGGAUGACGGUACCGGAAGAAUAAGCACCGGCUAACUACGUG
Molecule: ribosomal RNA, 486 nt
Filed under: uncultured bacterium
Lineage: Bacteria
Description: partial 16S ribosomal RNA
Rfam family: Bacterial small subunit ribosomal RNA
Source: RNAcentral